CACGCAGGCGGUUUGUUAAGUCAGAUGUGAAAUCCCCGGGCUCAACCUGGGAACUGCAUCUGAUACUGGCAAGCUUGAGUCUCGUAGAGGGGGGUAGGAAUUCCACGUGUAGCAGCGAAAUGCGUAGAGAUGUGGAGGAAUACCGAUGGCGAAGGCAGCCCCCUCGGGAUAACACUGACGUUCAUGCUGAAAGCGUGGGUAGCAAACA
Molecule: ribosomal RNA, 208 nt
Filed under: uncultured bacterium
Lineage: Bacteria
Description: partial 16S ribosomal RNA
Rfam family: Bacterial small subunit ribosomal RNA
Source: RNAcentral